Molecule: long non-coding RNA, 914 nt
Organism: Schistocerca gregaria
Lineage: Eukaryota; Metazoa; Arthropoda; Insecta; Orthoptera; Acrididae
Exons: 3
Source: RefSeq, a predicted model, not a curated record
UGUAUGAGGGACACACAACCGUAUAUUUGUGUGUACUAUUGAGGAUUUAGAUACAGUAUUAUAAGCAUAUGCAUGCAUAAAUAAUUUAUUCCCUUGAUCUUCUGUGCUUCUGUCUGUUACUCGCACCAUUUUGGUAAUAACAGUUUUUCUUUAAAAGUUUUGUCAUUACUAUCCCAAUAUGAGACGCGGCCUGAGCAUAUCAGAAAUUCUCAAAAACCGAGAGCAGACUAAAAAACUUCAGGAAAAGGGUUUAGAAAUUCAGAAGAUAAAUAUUGAAAAGAUGAAAGAAUAUUUACAAAAUUUCAGGGCAAACCUCGAAACUUUCGCAAUAAAAUAUAGGGAGAGUAUUAGCAAGGAUCCAGCGUUACGGCAGUAUUUUAAUGAGCUAUGUAAUAAGAUCGGUGCCGAUCCUCUUGUUUCAAAUCGCAGCUUUUGGGCAGAAUUUUUAGGCAUUGGUGAUUUUUAUUAUAAACUUGCGAUUCAAGUUAUUCAAAUAUGUAUUUUAAAACGCUCGGUAAGUGGUGGGUUGAUAGAGGUCAAUGAGGUGCUCAGACAUCUCAGGAAGAAGCCAAAAUUCAAGCAACAGCGUCUCAGUGAAGACGAUAUUGAACGGGCUAUUAGAAAGGUUAAAGUUUUGAAUGGUGGAUUUGAGCUUGUUUUAAUUGGCUCUCGUAAGAUGAUUCAAUCUGUUCCUUAUGAAUUUAGUAGCGAUCAUAAAUCAGUGCUUCUUAUUUCUCAAGAAAAAUAUUAUGUUACUUUGUCUUUGAUCCGAGAAAGGCUAUUUUGGGAUAAUCUAAGAUCUGAGCACGUACUGAACUCUAUGCUACAAGAAGGGCUCAUUUGGAUUGACCAGGUAGAGGGUCAGGAAUUACAGUAUUGGUUCACUAGCCUUUUUAUAAGUGAUUACAAAAACA